This 72-nucleotide transfer RNA is filed under the name Candidatus Kaiserbacteria bacterium. Its description in RNAcentral is "tRNA-Val". It matches the Rfam family "tRNA". Rfam says of the family: Transfer RNA (tRNA) molecules are approximately 80 nucleotides in length. Their secondary structure includes four short double-helical elements and three loops (D, anti-codon, and T loops). The record is from RNAcentral. Lineage: Bacteria; Candidatus Kaiseribacteriota.
GCACGCUUAGCUCAGUGGUAGAGCAACGCUUUUACACAGCGAGGGUCGUAGGUUCGAAUCCUACAGCGUGCA